CUUUUCUUUUUUUUGUUUCCCUCACUCCCAUCUCCCAAUGCUCAUGAAUUAGAAAAGUAAUUAAAUAGGAGAUAAUGAAAUUUGUUUGUAGAAUAGUAAUGGAGAUGCUAAAAAUGUAAAAAGAGAAAGUAGUGAAGUUGUAGAACUCAACACCGAGAGACAUGAAAAGAAGAGAAGCAGAAGAGAAACCCAAUCUCAAAGCAAGGCUACAAUUUGCAGAAUUUUUUUUCUCCCCCCGGUUUAUGCAUUACAAUGAAUUCAUGUUCUUUCCAUGAAGGAGAUGGAUAACAUAAGCUUAAGCAGUGAGCCAUUGAAUAGAUGUGAAGUUGAUAUGGAAGAUGAUUGUCCUUCUCCUCCUAACGAGUGUUCCUCAAAAAAAGAACUUCAAGAAAAAAAGGAUGAACCGGAACUUGGAAUGGAGUUUUUGCUCUCUUGCUCUAUUGAUUCUGCAAUUUUAUAGGCUUAAGUUUUGGUUUAUUGUAUUUGCUAUCAUGUACUCUAUUUAUCUUUCUCUAUUGGUUCGGCUUUUUUUUGUGCUGCAAAUUUAUGUCUUCGCUAUUACAUUUAUAAAAAAUUUUACAUUUAGUUUGA
Molecule: long non-coding RNA, 591 nt
Organism: Cornus florida
Lineage: Eukaryota; Viridiplantae; Streptophyta; Magnoliopsida; Cornales; Cornaceae
Exons: 2
Source: RefSeq, a predicted model, not a curated record